AUGGUGGAGCGAUGGCCAUGCCCUAAGCUUGUGAUCUCCACCAACUCCAAAAGUCCAGCUAUAAAACGGCAGAAAAAGAAAUUCCGAAGCAACUGCCAGUCAGCAAUCAUCGUCAGCUCAGCUCAACCUCGGAGGAAACGUCCCCGGAACGAAGUAGCAAUUCAGCAGGCGGAGGCCGACUCUUUCCCCCCGUCUCCCGGUUUCUAUUUCCGUCCCCAACCACCCGCGACCCCCGCUUUCCAUGGCCGCCGCGGCCGGAUGAUGUCUAGAAAGCCGCUCCUCCCCUGCCGCGGGCCCGCAGCCACCCCUCCCGCCCAGCUCCUCCUCCCAAUCCGCCGCCUCCUCCUCCUCCCCCUCCCCCGCCGCCGCUCCUCCCCGCCGCCGCCGCCGCUCGACCGACGGAGGCCCGCCAUGGCCGGCGCUGGCCAGUCCGCGGCCCCCGCGGCGGCGGCGGCGGCCGGCGCCGGGGCCACCUCCUUCCAUGUCGGCAUGGUGCGGGUCGUCUCGUUCCUCGUCGGCGGCCUCAACUGCGCGGUGCUGCUGCUUGGCCUCUACCUCAUCGACGCCGCGCUCCCGCCCGGCUGCGGCUGGGGCCUCGCGCUCGCCGCCAUGCCCGCUAUGGCCGCGGUCCGGGUGCUCGCCAUGCUCGGCGCCGCGCGGGCCCAGCACGCCACUGCGGACGCCAUUGCUCGCCGCCACCUCGACGAGGCCGCCGCCUCCGUUGCCGAGGACGCCGUGGCCCGCCACGAGAUCAGGGUGAGGUAUAAGCGCUGGUUGUGGUGGACUAGAUUUGGUAUGGCUGUUGGUGCAUUGCAGCUGGUUGGGGCAAUAUAUCUCAUGUUUGUCAUUGUGAGUGAUCUUCCCAACGAAAGAAGACCCACGUCCUGUUUCUUUGCACAGGAUGGAGCUGAGCGGGUCUCCAGACGAGCAUUAAUUGCUUUGUUUCUUAUCCUUUCCUGGGUUGUGGUCGUCCUUCAGUGCUUCAUGGGUUCUGAUGUAUUGAGAUGGCGGUCAUUCUAUGCGACACAUGAUAUGGCAUGGAAAGCUCAUUACAGGGAAGUGUUUGAUCAUGGAAUUCGUGAGGCUUUGUGCUGCCUAGGACGUGCAAAGUAUCUAGCCGUAUUGGAAGAAGAUGAGGUAUAUUCUGUGGCAAGACUUCUGGGUGAAUUGGUUGCAUAUCGUGCUUCUGGGACUGGCCAUUUGGAACUGUUAGCAGGGCUUGCUCUAUUGCAGAAGCAUGGGAAUUUGCCUGAUUUGCAAACUGACCUUGUGGAGGCACCUCAUACGCUUAUGCGAGAAGCUGCUGUUCUCCAUCCUUUUGCUGAAGCAUGUUACACGGGGCCACUUCUUGAUGUCGGAAGAAACCCCAUUUUGUUUCCAUGCGCAUGGGUUUAUCGACAAGGCGUUUUAACUCCAUGGGCGCGCCUAAGGCGUCCUGCACUUGAUGGUGAUAACUGGUGGCGAGGGCAUGCUGCAGCUUUCCUUAGAUUUGUUAAUAUAGCACCUACAGCACUUGUUCGAGGCCGUGUUCGUCAGAGCAAGCGUGAAGCCGCUUACUUUGUUGUGGUCCUCCAUGACAAAAAAACUGUUCUUAUUGGGGUGCGUGGGACAGAAACACCAGAGGAUCUCAUAACCGAUGGACUAUGCAGAGAAUGUGCUUUCACUAUGGAAGAUUUGGAUGGACUAGUAAAUAGUGAACUAUUACCUGUAACUACGAGGGAGAAAGUUAUUUCUACAUUCCCGCACUAUGGACAUGGUGGAAUUGUAGAGGCUGCUCGGGAGCUUUUCAUGCAACUCAACGACUGCACAGGAGAUAAUGGCAACUCAGAAAACACGUCCUCCAAAAAAUUUGGAUUUCUGUCUACGCUAGUCCAGGAGGGCAGUGAGUGUCAUGGAUAUAAAAUUCGUGUCGUUGGACAUUCUUUAGGAGGCGCUGUUGCUACAGUCCUAGGAAUGAUGCUUUUUGGCAGAUACCCAGAUGUGCAUGUGUAUGCUUAUGGCCCACUUCCUUGUGUGGAUUUGAUAAUAGCUGAAGCCUGUUCACAGUUUGUUACCACCAUUGUAAACAACGACGAAUUUUCUUCUCGCCUUUCAAUCAACUCAAUCCUCAGACUACGAUCUGCUGCAAUAAGUACUCUUUCAGAUAACUCCCCAGAUGAUACAGCAAUGAUACAAAAACUUGCUCGCAGAAUUUUGAAUGCAAACAAGUAUCAUGAAAGGCGGUCUCCACACCAGGAUGCAUUAUGCAAUACUGAGCCAGACCUUCAAGAUUUGCAAAAUGGCUUGGGUGCCUACAAUGGACCCAGUUCAUCCAUAGAUGAGCCCAGAAGCUAUCGAAGCCUACAAAUUGAUCAGGAUGUCCGGAGGAUUCCACUUGAUGGGCAUGAUUCCGGUUUGGAAGAGGCUCAGACAUCUUCUGGGGAAAUACUAGUCGAGUCUCGAGAGAUGUUUCUUGCAGGCUUAAUUAUUCAUGUUGUGCGGAACAGAAGAAGCCUCUUUCCUCUUUGGAAAUGCUGGAACCCUCAGGAAGCUGAACAACCAUAUAAAGCUGUUUUUGCGAAAAGAGAGAACUUCAGGGAUAUUGCUGUUACUCCUUCUAUGUUCAUGGAUCACUUACCAUGGAGGUGUCGGUUUGCUAUGCAGAGAACUCUGGAAGGCCAACCGUCACAGCGUUUAGCUAAUUCUGAUUCACCUGUACAACAUUUGGUCUGA
RNAcentral lists this ribosomal RNA (2712 nucleotides) under Triticum aestivum (bread wheat). RNAcentral describes it as "partial small subunit ribosomal RNA". Lineage: Eukaryota; Viridiplantae; Streptophyta; Magnoliopsida; Poales; Poaceae. The record is from RNAcentral.